Molecule: long non-coding RNA, 224 nt
Filed under: Vigna radiata
Lineage: Eukaryota; Viridiplantae; Streptophyta; Magnoliopsida; Fabales; Fabaceae
Description: long non-coding RNA (VRAD_LNC001559)
Source: RNAcentral
CCCACCAUUCUUAGUGCUUCUGGGGCAGGUAAACCAGCUAGAGCAUUAAAGCUGAUUUGGGCUUCAUUGUGGGUCAGACUUCUUUCUUCUGAAAGAAGGGAAUUAGGGUCCACCCUAAGGGCCGAUGACUCCCCUUUAUGUCGUCAUCCUCAUCUAUGGCAACCAAUAAAAAGAAACGACCCUUGCACUUGUGCCCGGGGCUAAAUUUUUCAUCACAAUUGUAG